GACGAACGCUGGCGGCGUGCUUAACACAUGCAAGUCGAACGGAAAGGCCCCCUUGUGGGGUACGCGAGUGGCGAACGGGUGAGUAACACGUGAGUAACCUACCCUUGACUUUGGGAUAACUUCAGGAAACUGGGGCUAAUACCGGAUAGGAGCUCCUGCUGCAUGGUGGGGGUUGGAAAGUUUCGGCGGUGGGGGAUGGACUCGCGGCUUAUCAGCUUGUUGGUGGGGUAGUGGCUCACCAAGGCUUUGACGGGUAGCCGGCCUGAGAGGGUGACCGGCCACAUUGGGACUGUGAGACGGCCCAGAAUCCUACGGGGGGCAGCAGUGGGGAAUAUUGCACGAUGGGCGGAAGCCUGAUGCAGCAACGCCGCGUGCGGGAUAACGGCCUUCGGGUUGUAAACCGCUUUCGCCUGUGACGAAGAGUGAGUGACGGUAAUAGGUAAAGAAGCACCGGCUAACUACGUG
RNAcentral lists this ribosomal RNA (465 nucleotides) under uncultured bacterium. Its description in RNAcentral is "partial 16S ribosomal RNA". It matches the Rfam family "Bacterial small subunit ribosomal RNA", at positions 28 to 507 of the family's 1533-position model. The record is from RNAcentral.